AUGGUUUGGCACCAUUAUACAGUAAGUAGAGAUAGAAACAGUUCGUAUCCCACAAGGUUUGAGCUGUUCACUGUUUUCAUGAAGCCAAAAAAAAUUAACAGCAUGUUGAGAUUUUGCCAAAGAGAGAAACGGGUAUCUUAUACCAGAAAAACAGGUAUCUUAUACAAGAGACACAGGUAUCUUAUACAAGAGACACAGGUAUCUUAUACAAGAGACACAGGUAUCUUAUACAAGAGACACAGGUAUCUUAUACAAGAGACACAGGUAUCUUAUACAAGAGAGCACCAGGUGUCUUAUACAAAGAACACAGGUAUCUUAUACAAGAGACACAGGAUCUUAUACAGAGAACACAGGUACUUAAUACAAGAGACACAGGUAUCUUAUACAAGAGACACAGGUAUCGUAUACAAGAGACAAACAGGUAUCUUAUACAAGAGACACAGGUAUCUUAUACAAGAGACACGGGUAUCUUAUACAAAGACAAACGGGUAUCUUAUCAAAGAGACACAGGUAUCUUAUACAGAGACACAGGUAUCUAUACAAAGAGACACAAGGUAUCUUAUACAAGAGAACACGGGUAUCUUAUACAAGAGACACAGGUAUCUUAUACAAGAGACAGGUAUCUUAAAGAGACACAGGUAUCUUAUACAAGAGACACAGUUAUCGUAUACAAGAGACACGUAUCUUUACAAGAGACACCAGGUAUCUUAUCAAGAGACACAGGUAUCUUAUACAAGAGACACAGGUAUCUUAUACAAGAGACACCGGUAUCUUAUACAAGAGACACAGGUAUCUUAUACUAGAGACACAGGUAUCUUAUACAAGAGACACAGGUAUCUUAUACAAGAUAGGUAUCUUAUACAAGAGACACAGGUAUCUUAUACAAGAUAGGUAUCUUAUACAAGAGACACAGGUAUCUUAUACUAGAGACACAGGUAUCUUAUACAAGAGACACAGGUAUCUUAUACCAGAUAAACGGGUAGCUUAUAUCAGAGUUGUGGCCAUUCCCAUUUCAAUUCAGUCAAUUCUGAAAGUAAACUAAAAUUCUAAUUCCAAAAUGUUCUCAUAGAGAAACAUUGAGCAAAAAUGUUUAACUUCCUAAUCGACUGAAUAGAAAAGGAAUUGACCCCAACCCUGUUUCAUAAGCAGUUUUGUCCUGAACAUCAUAAUAACCCAUGAGACACAUGAUGAGACAAAUAAGAGCUCUUAUGGGAGCAUCAGUUAAAACACUUACUGUAAGCUUUUGCCCUGCAUGAAUAAAAUAUACAGACAACAGUUAAUGUCUCAGUCGAUUUGAAGAGACACAAAAACAAUAUGUACCUAGCUUCACUUAAUGCCCUCAGCAGUAGCAGUGAGCCAAGGAGGAAUUGACUUGAGGGUCUCUCCUUAAGAAGGUAAUAUGAAUGUGUUUCAAAUGUGUACUUUACUGUAUGCACAUCAUAUGAUGUUUCUGUUGUGCUGUUGGAUAAACAAACCAGUUGAAUUAGAUUAGACCUUUAAGCUGCGAUUCCCAGCAUGUCAUGGAGUCACUCAAAAUAAAUUAACUAAGUAAUCAAGAGAUAAAAUAGAUAAAUAGAUAAAAUAUCCCUGUCCCUGGUUUGAUUCACAAGUCAAGUGUGCCUUUUGAAUGAGGGAUGGAGGGGUGUGUGUGUGUAGAAUAUGUGUAGUGGUGUCUUUUUGUCUCUUCUGUGUCUGUGUUUACUUGAUAUAACCAGCAGUGGGCUGACUGCUUCAGUCUCACACUGGGGGGAAAUUGUAUUGUUAACUUGAUCAUCUCUUACCUGGCGAUAAGGUGGUAGUGCAAUCCUAUGUUUUUUGAAGGAGGUAAACCUUAAGCAUAGCUGUAUUCUUUUAUAUGCUUUGAGUCGCUUUGUAGCUUCCUGCUACUUAUCUGCCUCGUGGCAUCAUUGUACUGUCCUCUUUACACAACAAAAUAAAUGUUUGCGAUGUGUAUUUGAGUAUGUCAUACUUUCACAUUGGAUUGGAAAGGUCCAUUGGUACCCACAAAUGAUUAUGUAUGAUUAGCCUAUUUAAA
Oncorhynchus tshawytscha (Chinook salmon) is the source of this 2035-nucleotide long non-coding RNA. NCBI's taxonomy places the organism in Eukaryota, Metazoa, Chordata, Actinopteri, Salmoniformes, Salmonidae. The record is from Ensembl.